Canis lupus familiaris (dog) is the source of this 2626-nucleotide RNA transcript. It is a transcript of the gene named microtubule interacting and trafficking domain containing 1, with no coding region annotated. NCBI's taxonomy places the organism in Eukaryota, Metazoa, Chordata, Mammalia, Carnivora, Canidae. The transcript has 8 exons. The record is from RefSeq and is a predicted model, not a curated record.
GAUCACUCCCGGAAGCGCUGCUGGCUGGCUGGGUUCUGGGCGGGCUCCCGGCCGGUGGGAUUUCGGAACUAUGGCGAAGUACGGGAAGGAGCAGGAUGCCCAGAGCAUUGCUGCAUUCACGGUGUUAAAGCGGGCGAUGGAACUGGACUCGGGUUCCCGGUACCAGCAGGCCCUGGUGUGUUACCAGGAGGGGAUUGACCUGCUCAUGCAGGUCCUGAGAGGUACCAAAGAUGAUACAAAGAAACGUAAUCUCCGAAAACAAAUUUCUGGCUACAUGGAUAAAGCAGAAAUAGUAAAGAAAUACUUGGAUCAAGAAAAAGAAGAUGGAAAAUAUCAUAUGCAGAUUAAAAUAGAAGAGAAUGCAACUGGUUUCAGUUAUGAGUCACUUUUUCAACAAUACCUUAAUGAAACAGUUACAGAAGUUUGGAUACAAGAUCCUUACAUUAGACAGAUUCAUCAGCUAUAUAACUUUCUUCGAUUUUGUGAGAUGCUUAUUAAGAAACCAUGUAAAGUAAAAACUAUUCAUCUUCUCACAUCUCUGGAUGAAGGUAGUGGGAAACAGCAGCAAAGUAGUGGCCUGCAAGAAAUAAAAAAGUCACUCCAAGAUCAUGGAGUGCUGUUGGAAUUAAAAUAUUCUUCUUCAGUACAUGACCGAGAAAUUAGGUUUAACAAUGGAUGGAUGAUUAAGAUUGGAAGGGGACUCGAUUAUUUUAAGAAACCACAGGUUCAGGUGCUGGUAAUGCUGAACCUGAAAAGACUCAAACCAGUGUGCCAAGCUUGGUUAUAUGGAAAUUCAGGGUCUCAGGAGAGCAAGUAUUGGACCUAAUCAGAAGUUAAUUUUCUGCAAAGUAUCGUAGCUUAUUUUGCCAGGUACCUAUCAGCAUGUGGAAGUAGAGAGGCUUUUCAUUCAGGCAACUCCAGUCUUGACCUAUUAGUGAGUGAUAAUUUUUAAAAGAUGAAGUAAAAAUCAAGUAUGUCAAGUAAGUGAAUAGUAUAUGGUAAGUAUUCCUUUUAGGUAUAGAUGAUAUCUAUGCUAGUAUUUUUUUUUUUUUUUACUCUAGUUUUUAAGGAGUUUAAACCCAGUAGACCAAACUGUCAGUUCCUGAGGUCAGUAAUCAUGUCUCACUCACCAUGAACAUCCAACAAUUCAAAGUACCUGGCACAUAGUAGGCACUCAUAAAGCACACAGUAAAUACUGUAGAAAUCAGAGGAGUAUAUGAAUGAACUGUGGAGACACAAACUGGUUCCUGUGAUGUUACUCUUUGAAGAAUUUUGGCAAUUUCUUCAUAAGAGAUGUAGAGACACAGCAAAACCUUCAGCAGGGGUUUUGGGGAAAGAAGAGACAUGAGCAUAUUUGUUCACACUACGCAUAAGGAUCCAUUGAGUGGAGAGAAAAAUGUAAGAUAAAAAAGAUAAUUAUUUUUUUAAGAUUUUAUUUAUUCAUGAGAGACACACAGAGGCAGAGACAUAGGCAGAGGGAGAAGCAGGCUCCCUGUGGGGAGACUGAUGCAGUACUUGAUCCCAUGGCCCCGGGAUCAUGACCUGAGCCUAAGGCAGACGCUCAACCACUGAGCCACCUGGGUGCCCCAAAAAGAUAAAUAUUUAAUAGCACAAGGCCCAAACAGGUUGGAAAGGACACAGAUACAGGUACAACAAGAGGAGUUAACCUUAAGGAAAAAGUGUUAGAGAAUGAGAUCUGUUGAGAGGAAAUAAGGUGCUGAAGGAGCUCAUUUAUGAAAGCCUACACUGUCAAAUUGAGUCAAGUUUUGUGACAAAAGAAGUGGAGUUCCAAGUUUAAGAAAAGUGGAAACAUUUAUGAACAAGGCCCCUGAAGGAUGAGGGAGUCCAUGGAGAGGGGUUGAAUCUAACAUCAAUAGAGAAUAAAUAUAAAUUGAAAACUAUAAAUAUGAAAUUGGGUUCAUCUGCAUGAUUAUGUGAAUUUUCCUGUCAUCUGGGUAUGAUAGGAAUGAAAAAUCAAUUGAUGGAAUCAUAACAAUAAAAUAUUGGCCAUUGUAGGUCAAGAGAGAAAAGCAAAUGAGAAUGUGGUAAGAAAGAAUACUUGAAAUAAUUCAGGGUUGGGUAGGAAGAGAGGUGCAGCAAGAGAUCUGGAGAGUUAAGGGCUUAGAAAAGUGCCAUGGGCUUAAUUUAACGGGAGAGGAUGGAAGUACAGCUGACACCUGAAUAACGGGGUCAGAGAUGCUAGACAUGGCACAGUUGAAAAUCUACAUAUAACUUUUGACUUCCCAAAAACUUAAUUGGUAGCUUACUGACCAGAAGCCUUACUAAUAACCGUCAAGACAUAUUUCGUAUGUAUUACUGUAUUCUUACAAUAAAGCUAGAAAAAAUGUUAUUUAAAAAUUUUAAGAGAAAAUAAAUUUAUAGCACUGUAAAACAUCUACAUAUAAUUGAAACAAAGGAAGAACUUUAGAGUUUAAGGUAUCAGGGGUGACAAGAAGCCUGGGUUAUAUUCCUUAGAAGUAAAAAAACAAAAGCAAAAACAAAACUCAGAGAUCACAGUGUUGAAUAUGGUAUACAUACCCACAAUGGUAACAGAGAAAGGAGCAGAUAUAUGUGUGCUAGAUUUAAAAAAAAAAAAAAUCAAUGAAGAAAGAGGUAGAGUAUCCUG